RNAcentral lists this ribosomal RNA (447 nucleotides) under uncultured bacterium. Its description in RNAcentral is "bacterial SSU rRNA". It matches the Rfam family "Bacterial small subunit ribosomal RNA", at positions 330 to 794 of the family's 1533-position model. The record is from RNAcentral.
ACCAGACUCCUACGGGAGGCAGCAGUGGGGAAUAUUGCACAAUGGGGGGAACCCUGAUGCAGCGACGCCGCGUGGGUGAAGAAGCGCCUCGGCGCGUAAAGCCCUGUCAGCAGGGAAGAAAAUGACGGUACCUGAAGAAGAAGCCCCGGCUAACUACGUGCCAGCAGCCGCGGUAAUACGUAGGGGGCAAGCGUUAUCCGGAUUUACUGGGUGUAAAGGGGGCGCAGACGGCGAUGCAAGCCAGGAGUGAAAGCCCGGGGCCCAACCCCGGGACUGCUCUUGGAACUGCGUGGCUGGAGUGCAGGAGGGGCAGGCGGAAUUCCUGGUGUAGCGGUGAAAUGCGUAGAUAUCAGGAGGAACACCGGUGGCGAAGGCGGCCUGCUGGACUGCAACUGACGUUGAGGCCCGAAAGCGUGGGGAGCAAACAGGAUUAGAUACCCGCGUACC